UUGCGCAUGGCUACUGUAAACCUCCAGUUCACUCAACAAUCAAUGCGGAUCUCCGGCUUACUCCACAAUUAAUGCGGAUCUCCGGCCUACUCUGCAAUUAAUACGGAUCUCCGGCUUACUCCACAUUUAAUGCGUAUGGCUCCUGUCAUCUACGGACUCUCAGCUCUCCACGGCGAGUUAGCCCAGCAGAGUCUGGUCAACCAUGAUAAGUCUCUGAUCUCGGCCAUACCUCCGACGCCAAUGCAAUGAUUCGCCUGGUAGCGUACUGGUUCGGGUCGUACGACGCCCUCACCGCCGACAUCAGCACAAUGAUUCGCCUGACCGUGCGCCGACCUGAGCCGCAUGCCGAGCCGUACUAU
This 359-nucleotide long non-coding RNA is filed under the name Phoenix dactylifera (date palm). RNAcentral describes it as "long non-coding RNA (PDAC_LNC016783)". The record is from RNAcentral. Lineage: Eukaryota; Viridiplantae; Streptophyta; Magnoliopsida; Arecales; Arecaceae.